This 387-nucleotide long non-coding RNA is filed under the name Homo sapiens (human). RNAcentral describes it as "non-protein coding lnc-C2orf88-1:2". The record is from RNAcentral. Lineage: Eukaryota; Metazoa; Chordata; Mammalia; Primates; Hominidae.
AAAUGCUGAAGCUGGGAGCGGCGACAGGGAAGCGCUGGCUCCCAGAAUGGAGGUAACGGCUGCUGCGGCCUGGGAGGCUUACCCGGAAUUAAGGGCGAGGCGAGGAGAUCCGAAGGAAAAGGAAAGCUUCACCCCAAGUUACCCAUUUGCCUCUUUAGGCUGGGUUGCCAGAGCCCUUGGCCUGGGAGAAGGACUUUUAAGCCUAUUGGACCUGCCAGCUGUUGGUGACCAGGUGAAAUAGAUAUCCUGAGCACACCUGUUUGAUUCCAAGCCUCCAUUUAGAAAGGGAGCAUGAGAAGCACUGAAAAGUAAGGCACUGUGAUCUACACGGAAACCAUAUAUUGGGCUCACAGCUACUGAAUGAGACCGACUGGUGGAGACAGUUUA